This 497-nucleotide ribosomal RNA is filed under the name uncultured bacterium. RNAcentral's name for it is "partial 16S ribosomal RNA". It matches the Rfam family "Bacterial small subunit ribosomal RNA", at positions 28 to 507 of the family's 1533-position model. The record is from RNAcentral.
GAUGAACGCUGGCGGCGUGCCUAAUACAUGCAAGUCGAGCGAACAGAUGAGGAGCUUGCUCCUCUGACGUUAGCGGCGGACGGGUGAGUAACACGUGGAUAACCUACCUAUAAGACUGGGAUAACUUCGGGAAACCGGAGCUAAUACCGGAUAAUAUAUUGAACCGCAUGGUUCAAUAGUGAAAGACGGUUUUGCUGUCACUUAUAGAUGGAUCCGCGCCGCAUUAGCUAGUUGGUAAGGUAACGGCUUACCAAGGCAACGAUGCGUAGCCGACCUGAGAGGGUGAUCGGCCACACUGGAACUGAGACACGGUCCAGACUCCUACGGGAGGCAGCAGUAGGGAAUCUUCCGCAAUGGGCGAAAGCCUGACGGAGCAACGCCGCGUGAGUGAUGAAGGUCUUCGGAUCGUAAAACUCUGUUAUUAGGGAAGAACAAAUAUGUAAGUAACUAUGCACGUCUUGACGGUACCUAAUCAGAAGGCCACGGCUAACUACGUG